CCCAAACCAAUAAAGUUUUCUUUAUUGGGGUUGCGGACAUAUCAUAACGAAGAGGUAUCGUAAUUGAAGAGGUUUGGAAAGACCCACCACAGAAGGUAAUAGUCCUGUAUGUUAAACGAGAAGACUUCAGAUAUGAUCCAGAGUACCACGGGACACGUGAAACCCUGUGGGAAGCAGGAGGGACCACCCUCCAAGGCUAAAUACUACCUAGUGACCGAUAGCGGAUAGUACCGUGAGGGAAAGGUGAAAAGAACCCCGGGAGGGGAGUGAAAUAGAACCUGAAACCCUGCACUUACAAGCUGUGGAAGCACAUUUCUUGUG
RNAcentral lists this ribosomal RNA (321 nucleotides) under Clostridioides difficile. Its description in RNAcentral is "bacterial LSU rRNA". It matches the Rfam family "Bacterial large subunit ribosomal RNA", at positions 268 to 593 of the family's 2925-position model. The record is from RNAcentral. Lineage: Bacteria; Bacillati; Bacillota; Clostridia; Peptostreptococcales; Peptostreptococcaceae.